CAGUCGCCGCGUUAUACGUAGGGUGCAAGCGUUAAUCGGAAUUACUGGGCGUAAAGCGUGCGCAGGCGGUUAUAUAAGACAGAUGUGAAAUCCCCGGGCUCAACCUGGGAACUGCAUUUGUGACUGUAUAGCUAGAGUACGGCAGAGGGGGAUGGAAUUCCGCGUGUAGCAGUGAAAUGCGUAGAUAUGCGGAGGAACACCGAUGGCGAAGGCAAUCCCCUGGGCCUGUACUGACGCUCAUGCACGAAAGCGUGGGGAGCAAACAGGAUUAGAUACCCCCGUAGUCCCUGUCUCUUAUACC
This 301-nucleotide ribosomal RNA is filed under the name uncultured bacterium. RNAcentral's name for it is "partial 16S ribosomal RNA". It matches the Rfam family "Bacterial small subunit ribosomal RNA", at positions 509 to 808 of the family's 1533-position model. The record is from RNAcentral.